This 253-nucleotide ribosomal RNA is filed under the name uncultured bacterium. Its description in RNAcentral is "partial 16S ribosomal RNA". It matches the Rfam family "Bacterial small subunit ribosomal RNA", at positions 524 to 776 of the family's 1533-position model. The record is from RNAcentral.
UACGUAGGUGGCAAGCGUUGUUCGGAAUUAUUGGGCGUAAAGGGCGCGUAGGCGGUUUGUUAAGUCGGCUGUGAAAGCCCGGGGCUCAACCCCGGAGGGUCAGCCGAUACUGGCAGACUAGAGUACGGAAGAGGUAGCUGGAAUUCCCGGUGUAGCGGUGAAAUGCGUAGAUAUCAGGAGGAACACCUAUUGCGAAGGCAGCUCGCUGGGACGUUACUGACGCUGAGACGCGAAAGCGUGGGGAGCAAACAGG